CAGGUGCUAAUACCGGAUAAGAAAGCGGAUCGCAUGAUCAGCUUUAAAAGGCGGCGUAAGCUGUCGCUAUGGGAUGGCCCCGCGGUGCAUUAGCUAGUUGGUAAGGUAAAGGCUUACCAAGGCGAUGAUGCAUAGCCGAGUUGAGAGACUGAUCGGCCACAUUGGGACUGAGACACGGCCCAAACUCCUACGGGAGGCAGCAGA
This 204-nucleotide ribosomal RNA is filed under the name uncultured Lactobacillus sp. Its description in RNAcentral is "partial 16S ribosomal RNA". It matches the Rfam family "Bacterial small subunit ribosomal RNA", at positions 157 to 354 of the family's 1533-position model. Lineage: Bacteria; Bacillati; Bacillota; Bacilli; Lactobacillales; Lactobacillaceae. The record is from RNAcentral.